GGAGAGGUGGCCGAGUGGUUGAUGGCACUGGUCUUGAAAACUAGUAUAACCGAAAGUUAUCGCGGGUUCGAAUCCCUGACUCUCCG
Molecule: transfer RNA, 86 nt
Filed under: seawater metagenome
Rfam family: tRNA
About the family: Transfer RNA (tRNA) molecules are approximately 80 nucleotides in length.
Source: RNAcentral